GGGGGUAUAGCUCAGGGGUAGAGCAUUUUUACUGCAAAUCGAGAGGUCUCCGGUUCAAACUCGGAUCUCCUCU
Molecule: non-coding RNA, 73 nt
Organism: Trichonephila inaurata madagascariensis
Lineage: Eukaryota; Metazoa; Arthropoda; Arachnida; Araneae; Nephilidae
Source: the annotation of a GenBank genome assembly